Molecule: ribosomal RNA, 434 nt
Filed under: uncultured bacterium
Lineage: Bacteria
Description: partial 16S ribosomal RNA
Rfam family: Bacterial small subunit ribosomal RNA
Source: RNAcentral
AGCGAACGCUGGCGGCAGGCCUAACACAUGCAAGUCGAACGAACCUUUCGGGGUUAGUGUCGGACGGGUGAGUAACACGUGGGAACGUGCCUUUAGGUUCGGAAUAACUCAGGGAAACUUGUGCUAAUACCGAAUGUGCCCUUCGGGGGAAAGAUUUAUCGCCUUUAGAGCGGCCCGCGUCUGAUUAGCUAGUUGGUUGAGGUAAUGGCUCACCAAGGCGACGAUCAGUAGCUGGUCUGAGAGGAUGAUCAGCCACAUUGGGACUGAGACACGGCCCAAAAUCCUACGGGAGGGAGCAGUGGGGAAUCUUGCGCAAUGGGCGAAAGCCUGACGCAGCCAUGCCGGGUGAAUGAUGAAGGUCGUAGGAUUGUAAAAUUCUUUCACCGGGGACGAUAAUGACGGUACCCGGAGAAGAAGCCCCGGCUAACUUCGUG